RNAcentral lists this Y RNA (102 nucleotides) under Prolemur simus (greater bamboo lemur). RNAcentral's name for it is "Y RNA (ENSPSMG00000019854.1)". It matches the Rfam family "Y RNA". From Rfam's summary of the family: Y RNAs are components of the Ro ribonucleoprotein particle (Ro RNP), in association with Ro60 and La proteins. The Y RNAs and Ro60 and La proteins are well conserved, but the function of the Ro RNP is not known. In humans the RNA component can be one of four small RNAs -- hY1, hY3, hY4 and hY5. The record is from Rfam by way of RNAcentral. Lineage: Eukaryota; Metazoa; Chordata; Mammalia; Primates; Lemuridae.
GACUGGUCCAAGUGCAGUGGUGUUUACAACUAAUUGAUCACAACGAGUUACAGAUUCCCUUGUUCCUUCUCCACUCACACUGCUUCACUUGACUAGCCUAAA